Ctenopharyngodon idella (grass carp) is the source of this 6414-nucleotide long non-coding RNA. RefSeq lists it as uncharacterized. The transcript has 2 exons. Lineage: Eukaryota; Metazoa; Chordata; Actinopteri; Cypriniformes; Xenocyprididae. The record is from RefSeq and is a predicted model, not a curated record.
ACAUCACACACAGCUUCUAUUGUUGCUUUACAGUGUUAUGGCUUGAUUUUAUUAUGUCUGUCAAAACAACAUAGGCUGUACAAGAACUUUUUUUGAUUUGUUAUUCAUUGCUAUUUUAUUUCUGUGUGCAACUUUUUCUCUUCAAAACAGCAUCAUAAUGUAAACAGCAAAAAAAGAAAAAAGCCCACAUUGAAGUGAAAGAGAAAAAAAGUUUGAAGAAUUUUGCCCUUUUAAUGAAAACAUAAGAUUAAAACAAAUUAUAAAUAAGAAGUAAUAUAAAAAGUAUAUUACUAAAUGAAAUAUUUUUGGAAUGUGCUGAAUAAAUAAAUAAAUAAAGUACCGUAAAAAUAUCCAUAUUUUUAGAAUAUAUAUCUGUGGCAGUUUAUAUCUGUCACUUCACUGUAUAUUGUAAUUAAUUAUGAGUGUUCCGACACACUUUUUCAGUGACGUCAUUUAGCCUACUGUAUGCAUACAGCCUAUAUGACCUAGCCUGGAAAAAUCAUCGCCAAGAAAAUUCAUGGACAGUCUCUCGCGUAUGGCGGGAGAUGGCCCAUAGAAUCACCAAGAGUCGGAUACGUGUGAAAUGGUUAAUGAAUGAAUUAAUGCAUAUUUAUUGUCGCUCAAAUCCAGAAAAAAAAUAUCCUUCACCAUUGUUUUUCGUGACAGAGCCAGGCCUCGUUUGAGUUCAUUAUCGAUUAGACACGUAACUCCAACUGUAGAUGGUUUCAAAUUAAUUCAUAUUUGUUUCCAAUAAUAUUAUAAAUAUAUUACACAAAUUGCUCACACUUCCCCCCCUAGAAUUACACUUUGAUUUAAAUUAAAAUAUUAUUUUAUCAUUGCAAAACGGUUACUAAUGGUUCAAAUUAACUACAGAGAGAGUGAGGGAGGGAGAGCCUGUAUCAGGCGAAUAUACCUGGGCGCCAGAACAAACCUGAUUUCCCUGUGAAACUCAACUUAAACUAUCGUAUAAUAAUAAUAUAUCAAAGACGAAGCUUGAACUAAGUGGUUGUAAAUAAACCACAGUAUAUUAAUGUUAAAUCUGAAAGCAUUAAACGCUCGUCGAAAAAUGAAUGAAUGGCCUAACAUUAUGAAUCAAGCUCUUGUAACUACCUGCGUUUAUGGCCACUUGAUUCGUUCAGUAUUAGCAGAUGAUCCAGCCGCCAGAUGGUGAUUUGUGCCUUACUUGGAUCCCACAUUAACCUAUUAUAAUAUCGUUUAAUUAAACACAAUUAUGGCGAUGAUAUUUGAUUGCACUUCAGGUAUGAGAAAUAAUUAAAAGCAAUGACCGUCGGUGUCGUAUAAAAACUUAUAUUUAAGAAGCUUCUCGGCGAUACCUGCAAUUGCUUUUGGUAAUGACGAAGCGGCAAACUGUUGAGUUAAUAAUAAUAGGCUAAUGAUAAUAAUAGCUAAUAAUUUUGUAAUGUAUUGAUAUUACAUUAUUUGCGUUUUUUAAAUAGUUUGGACGUAUAUUUUAAAGAGAAUGUAUUAGGGGAAAACAAUGUACAUUUAAAGAAUAAUUAUAAUAAUGCAUUAUGCUAUAAUAGUAAUAAUAAUAAUAAUAAUACACAUUCUUAUAUCCUCUGUAUACUCUGUUCAUCAUUUAAAUUAAAAUGAAUGCAGAUACAUUUGAAACAGUAGGCCUAUUAUAUCUGUAUGAUGAUAUGAACACGGGAACCCGUAAUAAACAUCUUAAGUCAAUGAAAUCACACACAGAUUGAAUGCAUUCAUAAAGUAAAUCUGUCGAAUAUGGAAGAGCACAACACUGAUUAGCUAUUCAAAGCAACGAAAUGAAAUAAGUUAUAGAUGAAAUAAGGGAAGUACAGAAUAUACGCCAUAUAUCAGUAGUCUUUAAUGAGCGCUUGUGUUUUAAAAACUGAGAUCAGGCCCUCCAACACAAAAACGAAACUAUAAUCUCUCAGAGAACUACACAAUAAAUGCCUUGAAAUGUAAAUAAAAGAAGGUCUGAUAUAUAUGGUUUGAGCACUCAGGAGAGUUGACCUCCAACACAAAAGCGAAUUAAUCUUGAAUGACCAACAACAAAACACGAAAAACGACAGUCUGACCUGUUAAUAGCGAUUCUCACAAGUCUCGUGUGCUACAGAAGUCUUGAAGUGUGCAUGAGAAAAUAUCAAGGCCCACAUUUCUGUCUCAAAACAAACCGAGUAUGCUGUUCUCCCGGCAAUUUGAAUCAACAGGUCAUCAGGCCCACGCGAGCUUUACUGCAUAUGUUCAGAUAGCUACUAAAAUGUCCUAAUAUUUUAAUAAUUGUCGCAGCGUACAUAUGGUCAUUGAAACACAUAAGACGAGCAUUUUCAAAACUGCGCAGUUUCAUAUAGUCUACUAGUUUUUCAGUUAAAAAGAAAUUAUUUUUAAUGAUCAUUUUCCUCUGGAAACAGAUAUAUCAAGCUCAUAACAUUAUACUUCGUUAUAACUUCGUUAUAACACUUAUUAAAUUGCUACAUAAUUUAAGUAUAAUGAAGCCUUUUCUAAUGAAUUGUCCACAUUGCUCUGAAUGCUAUAAUCGCAUGCAAAAGUUUCACGGGCACUCAAUGUAAGAAAAUAGUUUGAGUGUGAAAUCCUACCUAUUACAAACAAGUCGGAAUACAAAUGAAAGCCAAACAAACAAUAAGCAAAGACAUCGUGCAGAGUCCAGAGGAGAUUUACACACUUUUCCUCGCCUUCGAAAGAGUCCAGAAAAUAGCUGACUCUAUUUUCUUCAAUAAGACAUACAGCCUAUAUGCAUUAUUGAUUUGCCAUUCGCAGAUGAAGCACACCGAACCGCAACAGACCCCAGAGGACAAGGAUUCCUAAACGCGACCUCCUAAUUUUAGAUUAUCAGAAUGAAUUGUCCGUUUUGUUUCAUAUUCCUUCUUCUAUGGCAUCCAGUGGACAGGCAGAAAGCUCUGGAGAUCUCCACACUCGGUCUGUGCGUCCUGGGGUCCAUGAGCAGUGCUAGAGCGCCCACUAUUUCAACAAGCAGGAAUAUGAUUUCACAAGACCUGGAACCACUCAAUAAAAAAGUUACUAUCCCUUUCGACAACUCUUCGCUAACUUUCGCGUAACAAUUCUCUACGGUUUCUCGACUUCGCUAAAACACGAGAGUGAAACAACACGGCGUGGAAACGCUCUCCUGAUCAUUUCAGCCAAAGCACCACCACAAACGAAACUUGUGAACAAGCACACUACGGCAGCAUCUGCUCUAAAGGGUGGACGCGCGGAUCACGGAGAGUUUGAGCGAUUUCAAUGCAAUUGAGAGCUGAAAAACAAACGCACCGGACAAAGACGCGCUCUCAGCAGGAACUGAUCAAUGAAAAUGACACUUUGGUGAUGUGCGCAAGGGUUCAAAGUGCCGUGCGGCCGCUCAGGAGCGAAAGUAUCGCAAUAAGGACCUACUUUUGGCCAGUUUUCUCGCCCUCGCCUUGGAUCUCAUCUUGUCGGCUUGUAGAUUCCUCGCGUCCUCCUUGAGCUCAGAAGCAGCAGCAGCGCUAUCUUCAUCUCACGAGCAUUAUCACUUAUCUCUUUCCCUCCUCCUCCACUCGCUCCGCAACAUCUCGGAUCGCCCCCCACCUCCCCUUCUUGAGCUCCUGAAGAGGAAUAAGUGCUAUUUUUCAGGGACCUGCGGAAUUCGGUACGACACUGGACACUGAAUCCUGGAUGGGGUCAAGGUCGCAGCCCUCAAACGCAAGGUGAUCGCGAACAUUUCACGCACUCAAAUAAUAAGCGACGAUUUAAAGCAUGAAAAUAUUGUUGAAAAAGAAUUAUACUAAGCAUAUUUCUUCAUAAAAUAAAUUAUUAUUAUUAUUAUUAUUAUUCAUGCUGGUUCAGAAAAUGAAAAUAGUAGAAUGUUCUCUGGGCAUAUUAUUCAUUUUUAACUUUAUUGUGAAAGUCCCUGUAUCUGAUGUAGAUUUAAGAACAUUAGUGAGUGCCUCAUAUAUAUAUAUAUAUAUAUAUAUAUAUAUAUAUAUAUAUAUAUAAACUAUUAACAUUACUAAUUUAGGUGAGCUCUAUAAAUAGGUAAAAGGUGUGUUCAGUUUCAGUGUUGCUAUUGAGAGCCACCCGAGUCUCCGCGCGCUAGACUCCAGACGGCCAGGAGCUCCCGCGUGCGUGCAUGUGUGUAUGUGUGUGAGAGAGAGAGAGCGCGCGCGCGAGAGAGAGUGUGUGUAUGUGUGUAAUGUAAAAAGAGUAGAAAUACUGUAUGUAUGAGUGCACGCGUGGGAUCCGCACUGAGAAGGUAUGCAUAUAAACUCUCUCUUGAAACAAUGCACUCUGGGGUUUGUUUGGGUCUUAGGUCUAGAUUAGGUUUUGUACAUCAGUAUUGCUAUGUACAAAUUCGUGGCAGUUUAUGUGCAGGUAAAGCAAGCAGGGAACGACAAGGCAACCGAUACACUCAUGUAAGUAUGAUUCUGUUGAAUUAUUUGUUGUACGUAGCCUAUAACAAAGUGCAGUCAUGUUUGCAUGUGCACAAUCAUUGCAUUUUAAUGGUCACUGUAAGGCUGUAGGCGUGCUGUCAGAAUCAAGCCUCAGGAGUGCAACAGCAGGCUCAACAUCCGCAGUUAUUUUCUGCAAUUGGCACGUAAUAUAGAUCCUGUUAGACAUCAAAAGAUAGGAGUCAGUAUGAUGCGGAAAGUCGGAAAUUGACGUUACUUGCUAACUAUAUUUGAAUUAUUUUGCGUUUUGCAUUAUUAAAAACUAUAUAAUACAGGCUGCCGUUUUUUUUUUUUUUUUUUUUUUUGCCAAAAUAUAGCCUAAUACAAUUCUAUUUUAUUAUUAUUAGGCCUAUUAUUAAUAAUAAUAAUAAUAAUAAUAAUAAUAUUUUUUUCUCAAUUGUAUUGGAAUUUACAGUACAAGAUUAAGAUGACGGCAAUUAACCUGACAAUUUUUAUUUAUUAUUUCUCUUUGUAAUUAGAAGACCAUUCUGCAAUAAAUCGGAUCUCGUGUUGUCAUCAGAUCCCGUGGGAGCACAUGGGCUCGCGCAGGUGUCUUUCAAGAUAUUUAAAGCAGCCAUUAACAGUAAUCCAUGUCCACUAACUUCGAGUCUUUUUCCGUUGAUAUCAUUCCCCGACAUAUAGGCAUUAUAUAGGUUACUCUUUUAUGCUUUUAUGAAGAUGAUGAUAUUGAAGAGGUCCGAGCUCCUCGCGUAUUAAAACCAAUAAAUAUGAUUGUAAACAUUAGCACAUAAACAUAUUGUGAAACAAUGUCUUUUUCUCAAAUAAAUAUAUUAGGCCGAAUGAGGCACGAAACGUUUAUGUUCUUCUCUGGUGGAUUGCUGCCUUUUGAUUUUGUGCAAAUAAACUCCAGAGCCUAUUUCAUUCAUAAAUGAAAUAAUAAUUUUGCACAUUAUUUGGCUCAUCUGUUUUUGGCGCGUUAAAGAGGUUUAGAUGGAUUAACAAGGCGAAAUGCUUUAAACACUUUUACAUAUAUAAACCUGCCGUUACCUGCUCUGAAGGAAGAGGUGAUCUUGUUACUAAGCCCCCACUGACGAAUGACAUUUAUUGGUUUAUUGAUUGACUCCAUAUUAAACGUUUUAUCGGUAAAACCUUCUCUUGUCAAGACAUAUGAUACGAUACGAAACACGUACUGCCAUUCAAUUGGAUAUGUGAUAUACAAAAAUUCUGAGUUUAUUUCUUUGAGAAAUCCUUUUUUUUUUUUUUUUUUUUUUAAGUUACAUAUAAAUUAUAAUUGCCCACAAGAUGUACAGGUGUUGGGUAGGCUAUUAAAAAUGUGACAUUGUUGAAUUAUUAAUCUAUAUCAUUUAGCCUAUAAUUCAACUGUUGUUUUAUUUUAGAGCGAGCAAAGAUGACUUGAUAUAUAUAAUGUGCCACUUUUUUUCUUUAGUAAAAGCACGCCAUUCGCCCAUUCCUUACGCAACAAUUCAAAUGAAAAUCUCUCUCACGCAUUGGGGCUGGACUUUUUUUUUCAUAUAUGGAGCAACACCUUUGUAAAGGCAUUUAACUGUAAUUACACUUGUAAAGAAAAGUGUUGCUCCUCAUCACUAGCUCAUUGGGGAAUAGUUUUCUGCGUCAUUUAAACGUCUGCCUUUUUACAAGCUCCUGGAAACGUGACGGCUAUGUAACUACGCAUUUGGACUAUUUUCUUUCCAGAUUGUUGCCAUUUUCCUGUGGUUUAGCACAGGAAGGGAGGGAUGCUGGCCCAGACCCCGGAAGAGAGGUGUUCUGCAAACCAGGCCUCAGGAACAUCCACACUGAGAACUGAUGUCAGUGACUGAGUUUGUGUCAUCAUAAUUAGGCUUAAUUAAGAGCAGAAUUCAAGAGGUUUGUCAACUGAGUAUCACAAACAAUCAAUCACAUAAAUCUAUGUAAUUUUAAAUAUAUUAACCCAUUAUAUAUGUUUGAAUAUGUCUACAGUUGUAAGUGUAUUUUAUUAAGUUCACUAAAUAAAAUGCAUAAGCCGCCA